Non-coding RNA from Oryza sativa Japonica Group (Japanese rice), 2663 nucleotides. NCBI's taxonomy places the organism in Eukaryota, Viridiplantae, Streptophyta, Magnoliopsida, Poales, Poaceae. The record is from RefSeq and is a predicted model, not a curated record.
AGUAUAGUUGAUUUAUUUAGGAGAGUUAGUUGAUUUGUGUUCUCCGUAGUCGUGUUGAAUGUCCUGCAAAAAAAAGCAAAAAAGAAUCUCUUUGUGUUUGCAAUACGUGCCAAUCCAAACAUUUCUUAUUGAGUCGCCCAUUGAUAUUCAAUCACCACAUAUGCCUUGUUUAUUAGUAUUACCAUGUGGCUGAUGCAGCCUAGUACUAGUAGUUAUGUCAAUGUUUGUGGAGGGAGGAUGGAGCAGAUCAGGAUCGGCAGACACAGAGCGGAGCGCGGAGGGAGGGAGGAUCGGGGCGAUGGGGAUUGCCGGCGGUGAGGAUGGAUGGAGGCGCCGCCGCCGACGCAGCGCGGCCAUUGGUGGUAUAAGCUGCACAGUAAGAAGAGCAAAGUUGACAAUUUACCUUGAAGGAAACUCAUGAUAAAUGUAAAUACACCAUGCGAAAGUAGACGAUCAGGUUGUGCCUAUCACCCCUCAUGGUAACCUCUGCACCACCAGGAAUUUUACCUUAAAAUAUAGCAAAUGAAGUGAAUUACAUUUUCUAAAUUCAGGCACAAAUGGAAUAUCUAGGUGUAGAUAGUUUAUUGAUCGCAAUUUAUCAUUGACUUCAUUGUGAACUGGAGAUAUGCUUUAUGUACCAGUUUUUUUACUGCCUAAUACAGAGAGCAGUGCGCAUCAAUAUUUGUAAGUGGAACCUAUAACUUCCUAUUCCUUUUUGCUAAACUGUGGCAUUCUUUAGAUGUUUUGCUGGUGGAUGCAUCUGGACAUCAUUGAAAAGUGGUCUAUAACUACAUGUGUUCCUACUCUUAAUCAUAUAAUUCCUGAUAUAAGGUAGAGAAAGGGUCUAGGUUCUUAAUUUAACAGAUGGAUAAAAUUAUUUAUUACUUAAAUGUAAGGCGAAUGUAGUCCAGUUUAGGACUUUCUAUAGGCAGGUAUUAGAGCCAAUCCCUUGGGAUGAGCUUUUAAUUCAUUUUUCUAUUCAUCGAAAGGGAUUGUGUGACCCCAAGCAGUCACUAUGAUUUUGGAUAGCCAGGGACAAGAUGAUGAUGAGACAAUAAUUACACAAAGUUAGCACUAGUGCUGACCAUAAGAAUUUGAUGAGAUAGUUUCAGCUAUAUCUUUGUAGCAUCAGUCUACUAUUCAGAGUUGAGGUAUUGAUUUGUUUGAGUGUUUGACCAUCAAGCAGGUGGUACUUUCACAGUUUCACAUGUUCAAAAACAGAUGUGUCAACAAAUGCCAGCUUACAGUGAGAGCAGGUCAACCUGAACAUGUUUAACAACUGUAAAUGAUCUUGUUAGGGAUUUACCAAUUCGAGUAAUCCUCCAAUAUUAAUGGGUACAAAUAUAGAACAAUUCCAUGUCAUUCCUUGAAUAAGAAACUCAUGAGGAACAAUGAUUUAACUAAAGUACUCCAGCAUUAGGAAAUUUCUAGUUACUAUUUGCAUGAUGAAUCUUUUUUGCUCUGCUGUGGGAACAGCAACAUACAGACUUAAUGGGUAACUUGGCUAAGCUAAUAAGAUACAUUAACCUGAGGUGAACGGCAUAGGAGAUUGGGACCCCAUGAGAAGUGCGAGCGAGUAAAAGUAAAUUCAAUAGGAUAAGGAGAGGGAGAUAAAAUUCUCGAGAGAAAAUACAACCAUGUUUGUUUGCGAUUACACAUGUGCGCCAAAUUGCAUCCGAUGGAUCAGAGGGAACAUAAGCUAAAACAGAAUCCGAAGAAUUCUUGCUGGUCCAUAACAUUCUUUUCAUAUCAAUUGUCAUAUGCUCCAGCCUUAUUUAUUCCUCAUCUCAUCUGUGUAUGAUAAGAGAAAAUUAGGGUCUGACGUGAGUUUGCUCUGUGUACGCGCUUCUUUGACAUAGUAUGUGUUUUAAUAUAUCAUUUGAUGAAGCCUAUAGCAGCAUCACUUGAUUGCCCAGUAGUUCUUCUGGUGUAUAUAUUGUAUAUCUAAUUACAGUUCAUAGCUGAAACUGAGUCUUGAUUACUGAUAGUCUUUUCACUGUACACAUGAUCUUUUUUUUAUUACAGCUCAAUUCAUAGUAUCUGGUACGUUUCUUUGUAUUUCAGGUAUAAGCUGCACAGUAAGAAGAGCAAAGUUGACAAUUUGCCUCGAAGGAAACCAGUGAUAUAUGUGGAUCAAUGAUUAACAUGAGACAGAUACUGAACUUAUGGUAAAGAACUGCAUAUACCAAGAAUGCUUUACAGGACCAACAAAGUCUUCCAGACCAUUUGGAACGAGAAGCCUGAUGGAACAGUGCAACGAGAUAUUAAGAUCCAGAAGGGCUCCACAAUCAGAGGGAUGGUGCCUGAUACACUCGAAGCAAACUCAGAUUUUGGAUAACCACGGGCAAGUUGAUGAUGAUGAGUGAAAACCCUUCUUUCCUGACCUUCCUAAGGGAAAGGGAGCAGCAAGUAUGCGAUGAAGCUCGUGUGGCGCCCCUUCUCUGCACGCUUUGGUUCGUUCCAAGCUCACGUGGCACGUGUUGACUGAGUACAACAAGUGCAAAUAGAGGCACAGCAAAGGGCCUUUCUGUAAUUGUGUUUGUAAUCUUAGUCCUCUUUCAUGACCUGUUUGAUGCUUUUGCAUCUUUGAGAUUGUGAAACUGACGUGUGUGUAUAUGAUCCUGAUGGUGACUUCAGUCUUGCAAAUGUCAUUCCUGGUCGAA